CCCAGCCUUGGAGAAUCCCUGCUCCCCACCCCUCCCACCAUGGCACACGGGACCCAGGUCCAGAGGGUCCAUCUCGCAGAAUCCCCCCCUUCCCAGGACAGCCAGAGAUCUAGACCCUCAUGUCCGGAAAUUUCAAUGCUUUGGGCGUUUCCGGAAUCUGGACAGGACAUCCGUUUGCCGGACACAGAACAGACAGGCAAACGUCGGGACAGACAGAGGUAAGGGGUGGCAGGCCCAAGCAGGCACAAGAAAGGGAUGACCAGGAGGGGAAAAGAGUGGGGAAGAGAUGGGAGGGGGGACCACAGCACAGGUCCAGCCUCAUUCCAGGAAUCACAGCCUCCACCCAGGUCAUGUUUCGCACAUGCUAAGUGCAUGCAUGAGCCAGAGGAAUCCUCUAGAGCCCUCCCAGGGCUGAGGGUAGAGGCAGAAACCCCGGCCCACCCAGCCCCAAGGUCUGACCUUAUGUGAUCGGCAACACCAGAUACGCCCAGCUCCACGGCAAGGCUGACAGGCCAUCAGCAGGACUGGGGUGGGGGACAGGGGAGCAUGGGGGGAGACACAGAGGGGUUGGGGGCAGGUGCAGAAGGAGACGAAAACCCAGUUACACAGCAACCACAGGACAACAAAGGGAUUUUGAGGCACUGAGGGCACCAGAGCCACACAAUGUGCCUCAGAUUCUGAACCAAAGCUCAGGAGUCACUGAGGCCUUGCUUGUCACAGAUGUGGAAGGUGAGUCCAAGGCUGUGAUGUUCACAAGGUGGUACCUGGAGAACCUGGCUGGUGGCAGGUUGGUGCCAGGCUGUGUGUGUUUAUGUGUGUGGGAGGGGUGACCCAGCCCUGCCACACGUACCCAGGUAGAGUUCCAGGUACAAGAGAAUCCCCCUCUGGGAUAAGGCUCCACCUGGCAGCCCUGAGCGUAGCCAUGUGGGUCCCCCAUUCUUCAACCUAAUGAGGUGACUCUAGCACUUCCUCCAACAGGUGCCAAUCUGGGUGGCGUGGGGACAUCAUAAAGCUCAGUCUGGAGGCGGGGGUGGGGGGCGCCAGAGCUUUGUUGUGAGGGGGAGGAGCACGGACUGAGCGGCCUCCUCCCCUCCGGGCCACUGCGCCAGGCACCUGUCCCAGGUGGAGUGGCACCUGCCAGGAACCGAACGCGGGGGGGCGGGGUGGCGGUGGAGGAAGGAGUGCCGCGUUGAGAGGCGGGUGCGACAGGCACCGGGACGCACAGCCAGCCACAGACAUUCGAGUAGCGCUUCCGCCGCUCCCCCUCUAAUUUUCGGUGAGGGGCGGAGCGUGGGGGUGCGGCGGGGGCCUUCGGAACCUCCCCGCUCCCCCUCGGAAAAUGGCUUGAAUCCCGACUCCUUCACUGACUCGCCGUAAGAUCCUGUGGCUGCUGAGCCUCAAUUUUCUCCGUUGUACAAUGCAGACCUUGUCUGUAGAGCUGUUGCAUGCAGGUGGAGUUCCAUAGAUGCAGACUUGUGCCCAAGCGGAAGAAAAUGGAGGCCUCUACGGAGCUUCUUCGGGGUCUCUAGAACGUGCAGCUUGGCUCUUGGCCAACCCGCACUCCCUUGGAAACCCGGUGGAGAGAAUGUGGCAAAUCUAGGCUCCAAGCUGGCCCAGGGAUUAGGCCACUGUGUUUGGGGAUGGGCUUUCUGCUGCCUGCCAGGUCCCAGGCUCCCUCUUCCCUGGAUGGAGCUGGGGAACCCUGCCAAGUUCCCGCUCCAACCUUCCAACAUUCGUUUAUUCAGUGAAUAUUUAUCGAUGCCCGCUGGGGACUUUGGUGGCACUGGAAACAGAGUCGCACUUAGGCUUGCAACAGGGAGACCAAGGACUUUUUGUGCAAUCUCAACCGAAUAUGAUAACUGCGCUGGCGCCUCCCUGCAGCUGCUCUGGCCCCUCUCCAGGCUGCUCUGGGGCCUCGGAAACCCUGACCUGUUCCUGGUUCUCUAGAGGUCGUAGGAAAAACACCCACCCCUCACCCUGGUCUACAGGGUAUUCUUUUGUUGUUGUUGUUUUUAAGAUUUUAUUUAUUUAUUUGAGAGAGAGAGAGAGAGAGAACAUGAGAGGGGAGAGGUCAGAGGGAAAAGAAGACUCCCCACCAAGCAGAGAGCCCAAUGUGAGACUUGAUCCCAGGACUCCAGGAUCAUGACCUAAGCAGAAGGCAGUUGCUUAACCAACUGUGCCACCCAGGCGCCCUGUCUACAGGGUAGUCUUAUCAGGCCUGUGCCAACCUGUCCAGCCACAUCCCCCUGCACUCCCCUUAUCCCCAUCCAGCAACACUGGUCUUCCUUCUGCUCCUCAAAUAUUCUCACUUUACUUCCAACCACAGGGCCUUUACACUGGCUGUUUUCUGGUCUGGAACGUCCUUCCAUCACAUCUCCCAAGACUAGCCUUUUCUGAUCAUUUAGGUCUCUGUUUAAAUGCCACCUCCUCCAAGAGACCUUUCAGUACCCUGUCCUAUUUAUUAUAAAUAUGGCCCUGUUGUCUUUCUUUUAACUGUCACUCCUCUCUGAAAUUGCUCAACAUUUGGCCUAUGCUCACUCAGUCUUUGCAGAAUGUGUGAGCGGACACAGUGUGAGGUGUCAGAAGAACGGUAUCCCAAGACAGCCCAUGCCUUAAGGAGGCAACUGCCCCACUGUGGGAGAGGCAGAAGGGCUGGCACUAAGGACAAACUGGGAAACUACAAGGGCGGUAAAGAUGAAUAGGGUGUCUCACUGAAGGAAAAGCAGGGCAAUGUCCUAGAAGUAGGUGAGGGAGAACCUGGGAUGUCCUGAUUCUUCGCCUCAUCUCCAUUCCGCGGCCCUCAUUCAUACCACUCUGGUCGGAUGGUCACCGCCCCUCAAAAACGCUUAUUCCUAUUAUUCCUCAUCCCUUAUUCCAGGGCCUCUGCCUGCCGUGUUUUCCUUCUCCUCUUGGCAUUCUUUCUUCUUCACUUCAUUUCCAUCUUGGCUCAAAUGCCUCCUUAGAGAAGUACUCCCGGACUGCGUCUCCACCUAAAGCAGGCCCCCCCCAUCUCUACUAAACUCUACCCCUCACACUGCUCCCUUUUUUUCUUCCUUGCAAAUUUUAAUAGACUUUAUUUUCUUUCUUGUCUGUCUCAAUCAGGAUGUCAGCUCUCCAAGAACAGGGAUCAUUGUCUGUCUUUUCACUGCUGAGUCCCCAGCUUCUAGAACAGUGUCUAGCACACGGAAAGUGCUGGAAUAAAUAGCUGUGGGAUGUACAGGUGGUUGAACAAGCAGAGCAUCAUGGGGUAUGGCUGCAGGGUUUAGUGCUGAUGAACCUGGAGCAGGGACAGUCUCCAGAUACCACAGAUGAUGGGGAUGGAGGGCCUCCAGCACCUCCCUGAAGUUCGAACUUGACCCUGAGGAUUGUUGGUGCUGCUGACGGAUUCUUAGCAGAGGAGGAAAUGAAUGAGGAUUCUUUCUCAAAAGGCUCUUUGCAAACCAAGUCUCCCACCAGCCAACUGGGGGUCAGAAAAAGAAAUGGGAGUAGAUUCAUCUGAUACCAGAAAGGCUAAAUGUAUCAACAAAGCUAAACUCAAAAACUUUGGGUUGAGGGGGACAAAAAAAAAAA
Mustela erminea (ermine) is the source of this 3570-nucleotide long non-coding RNA. RefSeq lists it as uncharacterized. The record is from RefSeq and is a predicted model, not a curated record. The transcript is spliced from 3 exons. Lineage: Eukaryota; Metazoa; Chordata; Mammalia; Carnivora; Mustelidae.